Long non-coding RNA from Labeo rohita (rohu), 1101 nucleotides. RefSeq lists it as uncharacterized. The transcript is spliced from 4 exons. Lineage: Eukaryota; Metazoa; Chordata; Actinopteri; Cypriniformes; Cyprinidae. The record is from RefSeq and is a predicted model, not a curated record.
CCUUUUCGUUCUCCCAUGUUUUCUGGGGUAAACUAGGCUAUUGAGCGAAGACGUUUCACAGACGAAAAGAUUAUGUUGGGCUGACAUCAAUGGCAUAUGACUAAUAUUACUUGGGAUUAUAUACAACAAAAAGACAGAACUGUUGCCUAAAUGUUAAAAAAGUGUGAAGAGGAAAAUAAUGCCCAACAAAGUGCAGUUUAAUCUUCAGAAGAACAAGAAAAUGGAGAAGAAACAAAUAAGUCCAAAUUCUAAAGGGUUAAGAGACACAAACACAGUGAAAGCUGUUAGAUGCAACAGCAUGGAGCAUCUGAAACCAGAUUUCUUUUGUGAUCAAGUCGAGUCUCAUUCUGAUGAAUCAGAGAAGGUCGAGGAUGAGAAAACACCAGGACCUUAAACUCCAGUACAUGACAGGGGUUCAUUUACCAUCCUGGACAACACUCUUGAGUUUGCUUUUACACAUUUAGCGUGUCCUCCAUGGCUGCACAUUUGGAGCUGCACUUGUGUUCCUGUAACAAACAUACUGUACAUUUGUAUUCAUCCUCCUCAAAUGUGUUAUUUACUGCUUUUGUAGUUUUCUGUUGACUGUGUAUUAUUGAGUUGAAUGAGUCUGCUAUUGGUCUGUCAUUUGUCUGUUGUGUUGUCGCGUCUGACCGUUAGGUAUGACCUGCUGUUCUCAGUUUAAAUUUUCUCACAGUAUUUAUUGCACUUUAAACAGUUUUCAUUUGUUAAAAGGAAGGGAAAUGUCUCUUGUGAGGCCUCACAUUAUGUGACACCAAAUCUGUUUUUGUUUGUUUGUUUGUUUGUUUGUUUGUUUGUUUGUGAGUCACUUAUUAUUGAGUUUCUUAUUUUUGGGGUUGAUCACUGGCAUGAUAUCUGGCAACCCUCAUACCUUCAUUGGAGAGAACACGUUUGUGUGAGGGAAGAGUUCAGAAGAGAGCAGAACAUGCAUGAAGCUUCUGUUAAUGAUGAUUCAUUAAGUUAUUAAAGUGUUUUAAAUCACACAUUCAUUGUAACUGCAUUAUUUUUAGGCCCUGGGUCGGAACCGUUGUCUUCAGAUCUUUCAGUGUCAAACAUGAAAUGAUUGUGAAAGAUGGCAAUAAA